RNAcentral lists this ribosomal RNA (468 nucleotides) under uncultured bacterium. Its description in RNAcentral is "partial 16S ribosomal RNA". It matches the Rfam family "Bacterial small subunit ribosomal RNA", at positions 28 to 507 of the family's 1533-position model. The record is from RNAcentral.
GACGAACGCUGGCGGCGUGCUUAACACAUGCAAGUCGAACGGAAAGGCCCUGCUUUUGUGGGGUGCUCGAGUGGCGAACGGGUGAGUAACACGUGAGUAACCUGCCCUUGACUUUGGGAUAACUUCAGGAAACUGGGGCUAAUACCGGAUAGGAGCUCCUGCUGCAUGGUGGGGGUUGGAAAGUUUCGGCGGUUGGGGAUGGACUCGCGGCUUAUCAGCUUGUUGGUGGGGUAGUGGCUUACCAAGGCUUUGACGGGUAGCCGGCCUGUGUGGGUGACCGGCCACAUUGGGACUGAGAUACGGCCCAGACUCCUACGGGGGGCAACAGUGGGGAAUAUUGCACAAUGGGCGGAAGCCUGAUGCAGCAACGCCGCGUGCGGGAUGACGGCCUUCGGGUUGUAAACCGCUUUCGCCUGUGACGAAGCGUGAGUGACGGUAAUGGGUAAAGAAGCACCGGCUAACUACGUG